RNAcentral lists this ribosomal RNA (887 nucleotides) under Lepiota eriophora. RNAcentral describes it as "partial large subunit ribosomal RNA". It matches the Rfam family "Eukaryotic large subunit ribosomal RNA", at positions 67 to 941 of the family's 3401-position model. Lineage: Eukaryota; Fungi; Basidiomycota; Agaricomycetes; Agaricales; Agaricaceae. The record is from RNAcentral.
AACAAGGAUUCCCCUAGUAACUGCGAGUGAAGCGGGAAAAGCUCAAAUUUGAAAUCUGACGGUCCUUGGCCGUCCGAGUUGUAAUCUAGAGAAGUGUUACCCGCGCUGGACCGUGUACAAGUCUCCUGGAAUGGAGCGUCAUAGAGGGUGAGAAUCCCGUCUCUGACACGGACUACCAGGGCUUUGUGGUAUGCUCUCAAAGAGUCGAGUUGUUUGGGAAUGCAGCUCAAAAUGGGUGGUAAAUUCCAUCUAAAGCUAAAUAUUGGCGAGAGACCGAUAGCGAACAAGUACCGUGAGGGAAAGAUGAAAAGAACUUUGGAAAGAGAGUUAAACAGUACGUGAAAUUGCUGAAAGGGAAACGCUUGAAGUCAGUCGCGUUAGCCGGGGAUCAGCCUCGCAUUUGUGUGGUGCACUUUCCGGUUGACGGGUCAGCAUCAAUUUUGACUGCUGGAAAAAGUCCUGAGGAAUGUGGCAGCUCCGGCUGUGUUAUAGCCUCUGGUCGCAUACAGUGGUUGGGAUUGAGGAACUCAGCACGCCGCAAGGCCGGGUUUCGACCACGUCCGUGCUUAGGAUGCUGGCAUAAUGGCUUUAAGCGACCCGUCUUGAAACACGGACCAAGGAGUCUAACAUGCCUGCGAGUGUUUGGGUGGAAAACCCGAGCGCGUAAUGAAAGUGAAAGUUGAGAUCCCUGUCGUGGGGAGCAUCGACGCCCGGACCAGAACUUUUGGGACGGAUCCGCGGUAGAGCAUGUAUGUUGGGACCCGAAAGAUGGUGAACUAUGCCUGAAUAGGGUGAAGCCAGAGGAAACUCUGGUGGAGGCUCGUAGCGAUUCUGACGUGCAAAUCGAUCGUCAAAUUUGGGUAUAGGGGCGAAAGACUAAUCGAACC